CCACGGACAGGAAGAUGGACUACAUACGAAUAGUGACAGAACUCUGUCAAUUUCUAGUGCUGGUGCCAGUCAGUGUGUGCUGCAGACCCUGAAUGGACUGGAUAGCUUUGGCAGGAUCGCAGAGCUCAGAACUCAGUCGGUUGCCGGUGCUAAUACUAUCCGUGAUGGUGUCCAGCAUGUGUCUACUUCUGCAAAUGCCAGGCAGCACAUGCCGCAAAGCCUCCCGCCUGUGCCACUCACGCCACGCGUAGUGAUCAGGACAGCUGCCGACGCCGCCGCAAACCGCUUGUCGGGGAGUCGCUCGCCCAGCCCGCUCACGCCACGCGUAGCUGUUGCUGGCGCCAAUGCCGCUGGCCACCGCUCGCCCCACAGCCCUACGCCCCUGCCAACCCCGCCACGUCGGCGGCGAAGACGUGGUGUUCAAAAUUCUAAUUCUCCUGCGCAGAGGAGAACCCGCACUCAGACACAGUCAGAAAUAGCGAGGCAAGCCUUUGUCAGAUCUGACACCGAAUGGCGUGCUUUUCAGCGAGAAACUGAGAUACAUAGGAGGAGGAAUGAGGAACGGUGGA
This is a long non-coding RNA of Cydia splendana, 569 nucleotides long. RefSeq lists it as uncharacterized. The transcript has 3 exons. The record is from RefSeq and is a predicted model, not a curated record. NCBI's taxonomy places the organism in Eukaryota, Metazoa, Arthropoda, Insecta, Lepidoptera, Tortricidae.